RNAcentral lists this long non-coding RNA (737 nucleotides) under Capra hircus (goat). Its description in RNAcentral is "lncRNA (ENSCHIG00010032159.1)". Lineage: Eukaryota; Metazoa; Chordata; Mammalia; Artiodactyla; Bovidae. The record is from RNAcentral.
UAAGUAAAUUACAUCUAUAUAUAACCACUUCCAAAAAAUAAAACUAUAUGAUAGUAAAGUGAAGUAUGUAAAAUAUCCUUUGGUCUAAUGGCUAUUUUUGUUUUUCCAAAGAUAAUUUAUCUAUAACUAUUAAUAUUUCAAAAAGCUUUGCUAUCAAUGUCAACUGGUCGAGGGGGAUUCAGCAAGCUCAAAUGUUUUUUCUGAAUAAUAAAAAUGCCCAGAAUAGAAACUAGCAACAAAAGUCAACAGAGAGGGAGUGAUGGAAAGAGGGAAGCUAGGCAAAUUGCUUUAUAUUUUGCAUAACUGAAGAGCCAGAUGGCUUAACUGGAUUUUUAUUUUCAGAACCACCCACUGCAGGAUUUUAAGUAAGUUCUCAAGUCAAACACUGUAUUGCAAAACAGAGUUUAACAAUGUCUUGACCAGAGCCCACAACCUUAUCCAGGCAUUACCAGAUUCCUAUCCUUGUGAUGCAGCCAGAUCUGUCUUUUACUGGAAGAAGAAACCCUGGAGCCUGAGAUACUGUUAUGCCUAAAUGAUAAAGGGAUUAGCUUUUGGCUUUUGCGUAUCAGCCCCUGCACUGCAUUGCAUGAUCCUGUUGAACAGAAGACCACCUGGCAAACCAGAUAACCAGAUGCUGUGCAGCGAACACUAAACUGUGAUCUCUGAAGGUCACUGGUUGAUGAACAGCCAACUGGAUCAGGUCAGUUUAAAAUGAUUGGUUUGGUCUUUUUGCCCAC